This 500-nucleotide ribosomal RNA is filed under the name uncultured Roseateles sp. RNAcentral describes it as "bacterial SSU rRNA". It matches the Rfam family "Bacterial small subunit ribosomal RNA", at positions 36 to 507 of the family's 1533-position model. The record is from RNAcentral. Lineage: Bacteria; Pseudomonadati; Pseudomonadota; Betaproteobacteria; Burkholderiales; Sphaerotilaceae.
CCUUCGGGACUCGUAGAAGUUUGAACGGACUGGCGGGCAUGCCUUACACAUGCAAGUCACGGUAACACGGUUAAGCGUGCGAGUGGCGAACGGGUGAGUAAUGUAUCGGAACGUGCCCACGUCGUGGGGGAGUAACUGCUCGAAAGAGCAGCUAAUACCGCAUACGACCUGAGGGUGAAAGCGGGGGAUCGCAAGACCUCGCGCGAUUGGAGCGGCCGAUAUCAGAUUAGGUAGUUGGUGAGGUAAAGGCUCACCAAGCCGACGAUCUGUAGCUGGUCUGAGAGGACGACCAGCCACACUGGGACUGAGACACGGUCCAGACUCCUACGGGAGGCAGCAGUGGGGAAUUUUGGACAAUGGGCGCAAGCCUGAUCCAGCCAUGCCGCGUGCGGGAAGAAGGCCUUCGGGUUGUAAACCGCUUUUGUCAGGGAAGAAAAGGUUCUGGCUAAUACCUGGGACUCAUGACGGUACCUGAAGAAUAAGCACCGGCUAACUACGUG